GGGCCGGUAGCUCAGCUUGGUAUGAGCGCCGCGUUGGCAUCGCGGAGGCCGCGGGUUCGAAUCCCGCCCGGUCCACCA
This 78-nucleotide transfer RNA is filed under the name Candidatus Bathyarchaeota archaeon. Its description in RNAcentral is "tRNA-Ala". It matches the Rfam family "tRNA". Rfam says of the family: Transfer RNA (tRNA) molecules are approximately 80 nucleotides in length. Their secondary structure includes four short double-helical elements and three loops (D, anti-codon, and T loops). The record is from RNAcentral. Lineage: Archaea; Thermoproteati; Candidatus Bathyarchaeota. RNAcentral also lists the same sequence under 1 other name.